This 301-nucleotide ribosomal RNA is filed under the name uncultured bacterium. Its description in RNAcentral is "partial 16S ribosomal RNA". It matches the Rfam family "Bacterial small subunit ribosomal RNA", at positions 509 to 807 of the family's 1533-position model. The record is from RNAcentral.
CAGUAGCCGCGGUAAUACGAGGGGGGCUAGCGUUGUUCGGAAUUACUGGGCGUAAAGCGCGCGUAGGCGGCCUUUUAAGUCAGAGGUGAAAGCCCGGGGCUCAACCCCGGAAUUGCCUUUGAAACUGGAAAGCUAGAAUCUUGGAGAGGUCAGUGGAAUUCCGAGUGUAGAGGUGAAAUUCGUAGAUAUUCGGAAGAACACCAGUGGCGAAGGCGACUGACUGGACAAGUAUUGACGCUGAGGUGCGAAAGCGUGGGGAGCAAACAGGAUUAGAUACCCGAGUAGUCCCUGUCUCUUAUAC